Long non-coding RNA from Poeciliopsis prolifica (blackstripe livebearer), 2735 nucleotides. RefSeq lists it as uncharacterized. The transcript has 4 exons. The record is from RefSeq and is a predicted model, not a curated record. NCBI's taxonomy places the organism in Eukaryota, Metazoa, Chordata, Actinopteri, Cyprinodontiformes, Poeciliidae.
CCGGGUUCUGCACAUCUGGGCCACGUGGCCGCAGGCUGCUCUCUGAUUGGCUGUCGCUGCUCUGGGUGAAGUUUGGUGUUUUUACGUCAAUCAGCUGAUUCCACAUGUCAACACAAAGACCAGCGCAGGUUGGGGUCACGUCAGCCGCGCAGCCAAUCAGUGAGCAGGAAUCCAGGCUCACCUGUCGGUUCUGUUCGGUUCCUGCAGCUGGAUCUGGAUCAGCCGCCGAACCGGAAGCUGCCCGCUUCCAUUUGGACUCAGAGAACCGAACCUCCGCCCCCUGUAGUUUGACCCGGGUCCUUCCCUCAGCUCGGUUCGGUCUGGUUCGGACUCCGAGCCGAACUUCAACAUAACAACCACCGCGGCUCGUGCCGCUCGGCUGCCGCGCGGCGCCGCUUCAGCCCGCAGACUUUUAACGGGAGUUCCGGUCCAGCAUACCUGGGUCACCUGCAGCUCCGGUCCGGAGAGCAGAACCGGUCCAGAGAACCUGAGAGUUCUGAUCGAUCAGCUGGGAUCCAUGCUCUGGUCGCUCUUCAUCGUCCUCCUCUUCAUCAUCCGCAACAUCAGCAGCACGAGGCGCGCUCCCGCCGCGGACACGCACACGCCUCGCCCAUGCGCGCGCAUGUGCGCCUGCCUGCCAGCAGCAGGUUUCUGCUUUCUUCUUCGUGUGUUUGGGUUUCUGCUCGCCAACACCGAGCAGAACUUCCCUGUUCGGAACCGACGGACCGGAAAGACAAAAAUAAAAACGCGAUGAAAUAUGAACCUGCAGAAAAACCGAUGGAAACAAAAACAUCUAAAAAACAAUCUGGACCCAACAGAACUUCUGCAGACUUUCUCUGCUUUCAUGGCUCCAUUUGUAAAAUUCAAAAAUACUUUAUUGAUCCAAAGGGAAAUGAAAUGUUGUAAAUCAUUUAUUGAGAUUCUAAUUGAAGAUGCUGCUGGCAGGAAGGAUCUCCUGUAGCAGUCUGUGUUACAGCACCUCUGAACAAGCCUCUGACUGAAGACGGGCCAGAACUUUAUUGAUUUUAAAGAAUCCUUCUUUGCAUCAUCAUCACCAGAGGAUCCACAGACAGAACCACAACAGAACCACAACAGAACCACAACAGAACCAGCCUUCUUAUUCAGCCUGUUGAGCCUCUUCAGCUCCUGGUUCUGGUGGUUCUGAUGGUUCUGACAGCAGAUCCAAACCCUGAAGGAUCUCCUCUUCCUCCGUCUCCAUCCAGAUGAUUUGACUGUUCCCUCCGUGACCCGAAGCAGUCCACCAGCUCUCUGUACUCAGCCUCUGAUAAACCAUCACCUGCAGAGUUAAGAUGGCGUCUCCAUGGCGAUAAGCAAACUGACCGGGUUUCUCUCCAGGACCUUCAUGAUGUGGGUUGUCAUGGCUACAGGUCUACAGUCGGUUGAAGAGAUGCUGCAGAAUCCCACAGAACCGCUCUGCAGCUUCAGGCCUUCAGAACCAAGACCAUCUGGACCUGGUUCCGGUUCCGUCUCUCCAGCUGCCUCUUCUGGACCAGAACCAGAUCAGGAGGAGCAGCAGCUCCUGAUCCGGUCGGAGUCAAACUAGUGGAAGCUGAAGAUCCGUGACUGAGGAGGAAGUUAGAAGAUCAGAGGUUUGGCUCCGAUCUUCUAACUCAGGAAGCUGAGGUCAGAGGAAGGAGGGAUGAUGAUGAUCCUGAACCUGUCUGAAUGUCUUCAGCUCUUUUGCUCCUUCCAGGCUUCCAUCCACCUGAUCCACCUUCUGCUUGCAGCCUGAGAUCUUCUUCCUUCCUGAUUUGGUUCCUCUGCAGUUUGUCCUCCAGGUUCUUCCUGUUCUUCUGUCUCUAAUCUGGACUGCAGCUGCUUCUGUUCCCCGUCAUUCUGCUUCCAUCGCUCUGCUCUGGCGGCGAUGCUGCCGUCCACACAGCUUCCUGUCGGUCAUGGCUCUGAUGUCAUCUCCAUGAGGCUGGCAGAGAGCAAUCCAAUCAGUUGCUUCAAACAAGCCUGGCGGGCCUCUUCUGCUUCCUGUCACCAUUUCCUAACAGCCAUCUUGUUAACGGGGAGCGUCUUCACAAAUUAAGAGUCAAAAAUUAUUAAAACAUGGAGGUUAAUUUUUCAGUAAUAUUUAAUUAGAAAGCUAAAUAUUUUGUUUAUAUUUUAGUUUCUAUUAGAAACAAAAUGUAGCAAGCUAAGUAUUUAUUUUGUACUUAGCUUAUUAUUUUGUAUUUAGUUUACAAAAUCGUAAUAUUUAGCUAGCUCAAAAUAAAUAGCUGAAAUGCAAAUUCACUUCCUGCUAAGUGGAUUUUCAAAAUAAAAGCUGGCUGCAUCAUUGUUGCAGUAGAUCAGGGCUGCUAAUGAUCGAUUACUAAACUUCUGUACCGUCUUUAAAAUGGCUCAGCUGAAAUAUUGGACAAGAGGAAAAUAAACGAAGAGGUAACAAGAAACAACUCAAGCAGUUAUUAAAGACUUUCGGAAGACCCGGCUUUUAUCUUGGUAAUUCACUUCCUGUUAUCAGCCAGGCUUAGCUAAAUAUUCAGCUAAUAUUAGCAAAUAAACAAUAUCUUACUGAAUUGUGACAAUUUUGAAUUAAAAAUGGAAAUACAACUGAAAAAAUAUUUCUUUUGACAUGUUCAAUAAAUUUGAUCUGGGACUGUGAACCUGGUUCUGACUCGGGUUGGACUCCGAUCAGCAGCAGUCAGUCCCAGAAUGUUCUGGGAGUAUCUGGAAUAUGAUCCUGCUGAUUGCUGCACCUGUUCAAC